RNAcentral lists this ribosomal RNA (253 nucleotides) under uncultured bacterium. Its description in RNAcentral is "partial 16S ribosomal RNA". It matches the Rfam family "Bacterial small subunit ribosomal RNA", at positions 524 to 776 of the family's 1533-position model. The record is from RNAcentral.
UACAGAGGUCUCAAGCGUUGUUCGGAUUCAUUGGGCGUAAAGGGUGCGUAGGCGGCGCGGUAAGUCGGGUGUGAAAUCUCGGGGCUUAACUCCGAAACUGCAUUCGAUACUGCCGUGCUUGAGGACUGGAGAGGAGACUGGAAUUUACGGUGUAGCGGUGAAAUGCGUAGAUAUCCGGAGGAACACCAGUGGCGAAGGCGGCUUCCUGGACCGACACUGACGCUGAGGCGCGAAAGCUAGGGGAGCAAACGGG